CCUACGGGAGGCAGCAGUGAGGAAUAUUGGUCAAUGGGCGAGAGCCUGAACCAGCCAAGCCGCGUGAAGGAUGAAGGCUCUAUGGUUUGUAAACUUCUUUUAUAUGGGAAUAAAGUGAGGAACGUGUUCCUUUUUGUAUGUACCAUAUGAAUAAGCAUCGGCUAACUCCGUGCCAGCAGCCGCGGUAAUACGGAGGAUGCGAGCGUUAUCCGGAUUUAUUGGGUUUAAAGGGUGCGUAGGUGGUUAAUUAAGUCAGCGGUGAAAGUUUGUGGCUCAACCAUAAAAUUGCCGUUGAAACUGGUUGACUAGAGUAUAUUUGAGGUAGGCGGAAUGCGUGGUGUAGCGGUGAAAUGCAUAGAUAUCACGCAGAACUCCGAUUGCGAAGGCAGCUUACUAAACUAUAACUGACACUGAAGCACGAAAGCGUGGGGAUCAAACAGGAUUAGAUACCCCAGUAGUC
Molecule: ribosomal RNA, 460 nt
Filed under: uncultured bacterium
Lineage: Bacteria
Description: partial 16S ribosomal RNA
Rfam family: Bacterial small subunit ribosomal RNA
Source: RNAcentral